AAUGAAGUGGCUGAAAAUAGCGAUAGACUGUAAAUUUAUUUAUGAUUUUAAAAAUCCUUCAUUA
This 64-nucleotide transfer RNA is filed under the name Cucujoidea sp. 27 KM-2017. RNAcentral's name for it is "tRNA-Tyr". It matches the Rfam family "tRNA". Rfam says of the family: Transfer RNA (tRNA) molecules are approximately 80 nucleotides in length. Their secondary structure includes four short double-helical elements and three loops (D, anti-codon, and T loops). Lineage: Eukaryota; Metazoa; Arthropoda; Insecta; Coleoptera. The record is from RNAcentral.